AAUGGUGUAAUUUAAAAAAAAUAUUGCUCUGCAAAGGCAAGUUUGCUUUCGUUAGUCGCCAUUU
Molecule: transfer RNA, 64 nt
Filed under: Amphibalanus reticulatus
Lineage: Eukaryota; Metazoa; Arthropoda; Thecostraca; Balanomorpha; Balanidae
Description: tRNA-Cys
Source: RNAcentral